UUCCUCAAGAGGAAAACAACAGUCACAAGACUCUUCUUGGAGAUUGAGAAAUAAACCAAUUCCAAGGUACCAAACAUAUCAAACAGAGAGCUGGGGACUUUGAGGGGAGGCACUUCCACGACUAUGCAACCACCAAAUAAAGGUGAUGGGGAUCUGAAAACCAAAUAAAUGUUUCACUGGAUAUCUAAAAUCCAAUCACAAAAAUGCAAGUUAAGGAUGAAAAUAUCAAUGAAGGCCUCAGCUGGAGAGGGCACAAUGAAUUGCAAAGAGAACAACACAUCAACUCUACUAGGG
RNAcentral lists this long non-coding RNA (294 nucleotides) under Lathyrus oleraceus (garden pea). RNAcentral's name for it is "Pisum sativum (pea) long non-coding RNA (PSAT_LNC034734)". Lineage: Eukaryota; Viridiplantae; Streptophyta; Magnoliopsida; Fabales; Fabaceae. The record is from RNAcentral.